Molecule: non-coding RNA, 4650 nt
Organism: Pelobates cultripes (western spadefoot toad)
Lineage: Eukaryota; Metazoa; Chordata; Amphibia; Anura; Pelobatidae
Source: the annotation of a GenBank genome assembly
GUUUUAAAAUAUAAUAGGUUUUAUUUAAAAAAAUAUAUUUUUUUUUAUGUUUUAAAUGAUAUGAAAAAAAAGAGAAAACCUCGUCUUUGUAUAUGACAGGAUGCGUCAUACAAUACAGCUUGUGAUCCUACCCUGCUUCACUCCCCGCACAGAACUGUUGGUUUUCAAACACUGUCUGAUUCAAAGUGCCUGUAUCUGGCCCAAGAAUCCUGUCAUACACUAAGGGUAGGAAUGAGUUAAAAAAAAGUUUCUUUUUUUUUUACUUUAUGAAAUGGUUAUGGUGUUAAAAGAAUACGUUUUGUGGUGACAGUUUCCAUUUAACCAUUUUUUUUGAUCAAAAAGAAAUAGACAAACAGCCAAAUAACAGAAGUCAAACUGUUACGAAUAUAAAUGUGGAACAAAUCUGCAUUUUUAUUUUGUCCAGAAAGUCAGCAGACUAGAAAACUGGCCUCUGUUUUUUUUAGGAAAAUACAAGGUUUUAGUGGUGGGUGCCAAGGCUAAUGUGAGGAUAUCUGUCAAGGAACAUCCAACCGUAAAAACGUAGACUUUCUUCCUCAAGUGGCGUGAAAUACAGAUUAAUUUACAUCAACUUCAGCUAAAGACAAAAGGGGGUGUUCACCAAAGGAAGAACUGUCAGGAAUUUAAAGUUCAUUUCAAGCUUAAAGCCAAACUGUAAAUGUGGUUUGCUACUUUGGCCUUUAACGUAAUAUGUCCUGUGGAUUCCCAGUAAUUCUCAAACAGUGACUAACCAUAAUACGUUAAUUGAGCUGAGACAAGCACGGCCACCAGUAGGUACAUUAUGCAAUCAGAAAUAUAUCAUUAUGAGUAAGCAGGAUGUAUUAAAGGGACACUAUAGUCACCAGAACAACUACAGCUUAUUGAAUUUGUUCUGGUGAGUAGAAUCAUUACUUUCAGGCUUUUUGCAGUAAAUACUGUCUUUUCAGAGAAAAUGCAGUGUUUACAUUACAGCCUAGUGAGAACUUCACCGGCCACUCCACAGAUGGCUGUUAGAGAUCCUUCCUGGGUCAUGGCUGCCUAAAAUGCAUCCAAACAUUCAGUAUCUCCUCCCUCUGCAUGCAGACACUGAACUUUCCUCAUAGAGAUUCAUUGAUUCAAUUCAUCUCUAUGAGGAGAUGCUGAUUGGCCAGGGCUGUGUUUGAAUCAUGCUGGCUCUGCCCCUGAUCUGCCUCCUUGUCAGCCUCAGCCAGUCCUAUGGGGAAGCAUUGUGAUUGGAUCAGACCACCACUUCUGAUGAUGGCAGUAGACUGCUGGUUUUUCUGAGUCUAACAGCAUGCAGAGUUACAGCUUUUGGCUUCAAUACAGUAAGAUUUUUGCUAUAUUUAUGGAGGCAGGGGGCGCUAGAUGGUGGUUUUAACACUAUAGGGUCAGGAAUACAUGUUUCUGUUCCUGACCCUAUAGUGAUCCUUUAAAUUCAGAGAGAAAGCAUUGAACAUGUCAGCAGCCAGUUUAUUACUACUUCAGAGAUUCACUCCUGUAUGUAAAAUGGAGGCCUUAAAGGAAUUUCAUAGGGCCAGGAAUACAAACGUGUAUUCCUGACCCUAGUUUCUUAAAACCACUGAUUAGGUGGCCAGUACCACCCCCCUCCCCCUCCUUGCUCCUUGUUGAAUAGGAUAACAACUCUCCUUUAUUCCAGCGUUGCUUGGACCUUAAAAUGUUCACUUUAAUAUGCCCCCAGUAUGAGUGUGAUACCCAAGGAGACAGCAGUAUUUUGGGGAAGCCAAGAAGGAAAACUUAUACCAUACUUUCCGCCAUUUUCUUUUCCUGACUUUUAUCAUGGGAGCACACCACAUUCUGGUAGCUCCACCUCCAGCCUGAUAAGGACAGGAAAUAAUUAAACAAUUGCUCAGACUGUCCUCCCUUCAUACCUCAGUUUAAUUAAAAAGCUCAGAAAUUCAAGGGAGGAUCGAAAUAAUAUACUAACCCAAAAACUAUGUAAUGCCAGAACACACUUUAUUAUACAGAAGACACAGAGGAUAAGACACUGCUCCCAAAAGAGGUGGAAGAAGAGGCUACAUCCAACUUGUAGUCCUUAAUGAAGGUCACUGGAUAUGGCUAAGUCGCUGCCCUACAAAUUUCAAAAUAAAACCUAUGCCAAUUAGCCAAUGAUGUCACCAAAGCUCUGGUCGAAUUAUUUUUUAGCUAGGCCUUCAUAUCUACAUUAGAAAUCCAGCGCCUCAGAGUGGAUGUAGAAGCUGCUUCUCCUUUUCUACAUCUGAAUGGAAGAAUGAAUAAUUGUCUAGCUUACCAGAAGCAUCUGGAAUGCUGCCAAAUAUUUAAUGAUGCAUUCUCUCACUUCCAGUUGGGAUAGUUUGGCUUCUGCUUCACAUGUAGCAUUGGGAUAAAAUGAGGGCAAAACCACUUCCGUAGUCAGAUGGAAACUUGAGGCGACUUUCGGUAAGAACUCUUUUGUCUCAAAACCACUCUGUAGUGGUAUACCAUAGUAUGGGUUUCCUCACAAGAAAAGGCCUGGAUCUUGGACGUUGUUUUGGCAGACAUAAAGGCAACAAGAAAUAAGGUUUCAUACAUUUUCAUUAUUGGGUUUAGCUCAUCUAACGGAGCAAAAGGUUUUUCUUAUAAGGCACUUGUGACUUGCGGAAAAUCCCAUGGUGGAGAAUAACUUCAAUUAAUUGCCUUAAAAAAAUUGCAUUAUUGGGCAGUGCAUCCGAAUAGACGCCAUUUCCACAGCUCCGAGCGCUAAAAACUUAAUCCACCUAAUAUCCCCUGCAUCUUGGCAAUACCAACUGAAAGGAGGGCAGAUAUCGCAGCAACAAGCCGCACUGAAUCCUCCGAUGCCUUUUUUAUAUACCCCGGGCAAAAAAAUACCAGAACCGAGGCUCCAAGGCCUAUCCUACUACCAGACAUCCCCCAGCAGCCUACAGAGGCCUACUGGACUGGGACGAGACAGGCUUCUUCCCUCUGCUGACAGGCGACAUGGGCAAGAGAACCCAAAAAACCCCUGCGACUAUUAGCAGGACGCAGCACAACAGAGGCCUGAUGCUGCAACAAACGGGGCCCACGAUGACACCGGCGGCACGAGAGCCCUCACUCACCCGAGAGCCCUCACUCUCAAAGGCUGACUGCGGGACCCCACUCCAGAGCCCGAUACCAGUAAACAAAGGUACACUACAUCCACAGGAGACAGAAGCUCCGGCAACAAAAAGGGAAAUUCAAAAUAUGCUCACCGACCUCCAAAACAACCUCAGGACAAUGUGGGAGGCAGAUCUGGCGGUUCUUAAAACGGAGGUACAGGCCCUCAAAAUGCGCACACAGACUGCAGAAAGAAAUGUAAUAGACCUACAAAAAAGCUUUAAAGCACUCAGUGACCAGGUACAGCAUUUGCAGAAUACACAAGCUGAAACCAACAAACCAGUGCACAUACUAGACGACCGGGGCAGGAGAAAGAACAUAAAGGUAAGGGGAGUAGCAGAGUCAAUACCCCUAGAAGUAUUGCCACACUUCAUAAGAAGGCUGGUGGCAUCACUACUGCCAGCAAGAGAAGCCAAGUACUUCUCCUUUACAGAAUGGCCAAAUCCCCUAGGGCCCCUGAAACUGCACCACAAGACAUAAUCCUGAGGUGUCAAGUGAUGUCCAACAAGUUAAGCCUGCUAGCGGUGCUAAAAGGGAAGACGCCAUAUAACUUUGAGAACUGUAAAAUUUCCUUCUUCCAAGAUCUUAGUAGAGCCACACUACAGUGGCGAAAAGCCAUGCAACCCCUCACGCAGACCCUACAAAAAGGACUGACCUACAGUUGGGCGACACUGCACAUACUGUGGGUCACCAAAAACGGAAAGUUCUAUAAGGCCACAGACCCUGCAGACGCUCCUGCACUCCUGGCGGCACUGAACUUGCAACCUAACCCUACUCACGAACCGCCCGAUACGCAACCCCGAAUGGACACUGACUCGGACACGUCUUCACCCGACCCCGGAAAGACCUGAACCAAAUAACAUGCCUGGCCAUCUCAUGUUGCAGUGGCACAUACGUGACUUUCUUAGUUACAAAGUUUUGCAAUUGUAACACUACAUCUUAACACUACAAGUUUCGCUUAAUUCGCCUACUCUUACACACGCUAAUGCAUAGUCACUCUCCUUUGCUGAAACACCCAUAGGACACACACAGCGCUCACACUAUGCUCAGGAACUCUUCCCCCUCGCCCCCAUAGUUCUGACACGCCAGGGAGAAAAAGACAAGAGGAAAAGGGAUCAUACACACAGAUGAGGGCCACACGAUAGGACUUACACCAUUAGUACUACCUCAUAGAGAUAGCCCACUCACUGGAGAUGGAACCAAGAUAUCACCUGGAACCACAGCUCUGCCACCUAGUGGGGCCGACACAACAGAGACACCAACACCUCUCCCUUCUACAUACACCCGAGCGACCUAGACACCGCAAAACUCACUGGCACGCAAACUCUGCGGCACCACUCAUAGAGGGAGUUUAUUAACUCAUAUAUUGAUCAACUCACUACAACCCGACAGUCCAUCACACUUCUAAAAAUGUGCAGCAUGCUCACCAGACAUAAACCACAAACAUAUGAUGUUACAUACAAUGUUUACUCAUGUAUCAGACCAAAACGUAAAGAAUGUAUGUACGUUGCAUGCAAAUCUGCACCAAAAAUAAAGAAUUUU